Molecule: long non-coding RNA, 148 nt
Organism: Amblyraja radiata (thorny skate)
Lineage: Eukaryota; Metazoa; Chordata; Chondrichthyes; Rajiformes; Rajidae
Exons: 3
Source: RefSeq, a predicted model, not a curated record
UGAUAGACGGCAUAGUUUAACACCAGAUAAUUUGAAAAUAAUGCUAGUAAUUAUGUGCAACCAGGCAACUUUGGUCAUUUAAUGUCGUAUACCUUUAUAUUAUCGUUUUAAACCAUAUUUUGAUGGAUGAAAUAAAUGCAUUUUUUGU